Molecule: long non-coding RNA, 278 nt
Filed under: Capsicum annuum
Lineage: Eukaryota; Viridiplantae; Streptophyta; Magnoliopsida; Solanales; Solanaceae
Description: long non-coding RNA (CANN_LNC005857)
Source: RNAcentral
UGAGAUGGACCUGCCUGUGAAGUUUCCUCUUUCUCGGUCAAAUCGUGCAACAUACAUUGCAAUUAUACUUUGAUAUUAGGGAGAAAGCCUCUAGCCCAUGUACCUGCCUCCUGGGGAGUACACCUGUAAAGACUAUUCUGAUGUCCUUCUACAGUUGUGAGCAGACUUGAUAAUUGGACUCUCAAUUCUUACACUUUGGCCCCCGCAUCUUCAUCCUGGCGGUCAUUAACUAUGCAUUCUUCCUGCACUCUCCCUCUAAGCUGCAUUGGUAAUGUCCU